AUUGAACGCUGGCGGCAGGCCUAACACAUGCAAGUCGAGCGGAUGAAGGGAGCUUGCUCCUGGAUUCAGCGGCGGACGGGUGAGUAAUGCCUAGGAAUCUGCCUGGUAGUGGGGGAUAACGUCCGGAAACGGGCGCUAAUACCGCAUACGUCCUGAGGAGAAAGUUGGGGGUUCUCGGGCCCCACCGCAAUCAGAUAGGCUAGGUCGGAUUAGCUAGUUGGUGGGGUAAAGGCCUACCAAGGCGACGAUCCGUAACUGGUCUGAGAGGAUGAUCAGUCACACUGGAACUGAGACACGGUCCAGACUCCUACGGGAGGCAGCAGUGGGGAAUAUUGGACAAUGGGCGAAAGCCUGAUCCAGCCAUGCCGCGUGUGUGAAGAAGGUCUUCGGAUUGUAAAGCACUUUAAGUUGGGAGGAAGGGCAGUAAGUUAAUACCUUGCUGUUUUGACGUUACCAACAGAAUAAGCACCGGCUAACUUCGUG
This 483-nucleotide ribosomal RNA is filed under the name uncultured bacterium. Its description in RNAcentral is "partial 16S ribosomal RNA". It matches the Rfam family "Bacterial small subunit ribosomal RNA", at positions 30 to 507 of the family's 1533-position model. The record is from RNAcentral.